This 478-nucleotide ribosomal RNA is filed under the name uncultured bacterium. Its description in RNAcentral is "partial 16S ribosomal RNA". It matches the Rfam family "Bacterial small subunit ribosomal RNA", at positions 28 to 507 of the family's 1533-position model. The record is from RNAcentral.
GACGAACGCUGGCGGCGUGCUUAACACAUGCAAGUCGAACGGGAUUUAGUAGACAGAAGCCUCGGCUAAAGAUUACUAAUGAGAGUGGCGAACGGGUGAGUAACGCGUGAGCAACCUGCCUAUGACAGUGGGAUAGCCUCGGGACACCGGGAUUAAUACCGCAUAAAAUCGUAGAAACACAUGUUUUAACGGUCAAAGAUUUAUCGGUCAUAGAUGGGCUCGCGUCUGAUUAGCUAGUUGGUGAGAUAACAGCCCACCAAGGCGACGAUCAGGAGCCGGUCUGAGAGGAUGACCGGCUACAUUGGAACUGAGGCACGGUCCAAACUCCUACGGAAGGGAGCAGUAGGGAAUAUUGCACAAGGGGGGAAACCCUAAUGCAGCGACGCCGCGUGAACGAAGAAGGUAUUCGUAUCGUAAAGUUCUGUCCUAUGGGAAGAUAAUGACAGUACCAUAGAAGAAAGCACCGGCUAAAUACGUG